This 253-nucleotide ribosomal RNA is filed under the name uncultured bacterium. Its description in RNAcentral is "partial 16S ribosomal RNA". It matches the Rfam family "Bacterial small subunit ribosomal RNA", at positions 524 to 776 of the family's 1533-position model. The record is from RNAcentral.
GACGUAGGGCGCGAGCGUUGUCCGGAUUUAUUGGGCGUAAAGAGCUCGUAGGCGGCCUUCUAAGUCGAACGUGAAAUCCCCGGGCUCAACCCGGGAACUGCGUCCGAUACUGGAAGGCUUGAAUCCGGGAGAGGGAUGCGGAAUUCCAGGUGUAGCGGUGAAAUGCGUAGAUAUCUGGAGGAACACCGGUGGCGAAGGCGGCAUCCUGGACCGGCAUUGACGCUGAGGCGCGAAAGCCAGGGGAGCAAACGGG